This 489-nucleotide ribosomal RNA is filed under the name Aeromonas sp. 01WB03.4-41. RNAcentral's name for it is "bacterial SSU rRNA". It matches the Rfam family "Bacterial small subunit ribosomal RNA", at positions 1 to 484 of the family's 1533-position model. The record is from RNAcentral. Lineage: Bacteria; Pseudomonadati; Pseudomonadota; Gammaproteobacteria; Aeromonadales; Aeromonadaceae.
UAGAGUUUGAUCAUGGCUCAGAUUGAACGCUGGCGGCAGGCCUAACACAUGCAAGUCGAGCGGCAGCGGGAAAGUAGCUUGCUACUUUUGCCGGCGAGCGGCGGACGGGUGAGUAAUGCCUGGGGAUCUGCCCAGUCGAGGGGGAUAACAGUUGGAAACGACUGCUAAUACCGCAUACGCCCUACGGGGGAAAGGAGGGGACCUUCGGGCCUUUCGCGAUUGGAUGAACCCAGGUGGGAUUAGCUAGUUGGUGGGGUAAUGGCUCACCAAGGCGACGAUCCCUAGCUGGUCUGAGAGGAUGAUCAGCCACACUGGAACUGAGACACGGUCCAGACUCCUACGGGAGGCAGCAGUGGGGAAUAUUGCACAAUGGGGGAAACCCUGAUGCAGCCAUGCCGCGUGUGUGAAGAAGGCCUUCGGGUUGUAAAGCACUUUCAGCGAGGAGGAAAGGUUGAUGCCUAAUACGUAUCAGCUGUGACGUACUCGCAG